Molecule: ribosomal RNA, 433 nt
Filed under: uncultured bacterium
Lineage: Bacteria
Description: partial 16S ribosomal RNA
Rfam family: Bacterial small subunit ribosomal RNA
Source: RNAcentral
AACGAACGCUGGCGGCAUGCCUAACACAUGCAAGUCGAACGAGACCUUCGGGUCUAGUGGCGCACGGGUGCGUAACGCGUGGGAACCUGCCCUUAGGUUCGGAAUAACUCCCCGAAAGGGGUGCUAAUACCGGAUAAUGUCUUCGGACCAAAGAUUUAUCGCCUUUGGAUAGGCCCGCGUUGGAUUAGCUAGUUGGUAGGGUAAAAGCCUACCAAGGCGACGAUCCAUAGCUGGUCUGAGAGGAUGAUCAGCCACACUGGGACUGAGACACGGCCCAGACUCCUACGGGAGGCAGCAGUGGGGAAUAUUGGACAAUGGGCGAAAGCCUGAUCCAGCAAUGCCGCGUGAGUGAUGAAGGCCUUAGGGUUGUAAAGCUCUUUUACCCGGGAUGAUAAUGACAGUACCGGGAGAAUAAGCGCCGGCUAACUCCGUG